RNAcentral lists this ribosomal RNA (497 nucleotides) under uncultured bacterium. RNAcentral's name for it is "partial 16S ribosomal RNA". It matches the Rfam family "Bacterial small subunit ribosomal RNA", at positions 28 to 507 of the family's 1533-position model. The record is from RNAcentral.
GACGAACGCUGGCGGCGUGCCUAAUACAUGCAAGUUGAGCGCUGAAGGUUUGUACUUGUACCCACUGGAUUAGCAGCUAACGGGUGAGUAACGCGUGGGGAAUCUGCCUUUGAUCGGUGGACAACAUUUGGAAACGACUGCUAAUACCGCAUAAAAACUUUAAACACAAGUUUUAAGUUUGAAAGAUGCAAUUGCAUCACUCAUGGAUGAUCCCGCGUUGUAUUAGCUAGUUGGUUAGGUAAAGGCUCACCAAGGCGAUGAUACAUAGCCGACCUGAGAGGGUGAUCGGGCAAAAUGGGAAUGGGACACGGCCCAAAAUCCUAAGGGAGGCAGCAGUAGGGAAACUUCGGAAAAGGAGGAAAGUCUGACCGAGCAACGACGGGUGAGUGAAGAAGGGUCUCGGAUCGGAAAACUCUGUUGGUAGAGAAGAAAGAUGGUGAGAGUGGAAAGCUCAUGAAGUGACGGUAACUAAACAGAAAGGGACGGCUAACUACGUG